This 506-nucleotide ribosomal RNA is filed under the name uncultured bacterium. RNAcentral describes it as "partial 16S ribosomal RNA". It matches the Rfam family "Bacterial small subunit ribosomal RNA", at positions 29 to 523 of the family's 1533-position model. The record is from RNAcentral.
AGUGAACGCUGGCGGUAGGCCUAACACAUGCAAGUCGAACGGCAGCACAGGAGAGCUUGCUCUCUGGGUGGCGAGUGGCGGACGGGUGGGGAAUACAUCGGAAUCUACUCUGUCGUGGGGGAUAACGUAGGGAAACUUACGCUAAUACCGCAUACGACCUACGGGUGAAAGCAGGGGACCUUCGGGCCUUGCGCGAUUGAAUGCGCCGAUGUCGGAUUAGCUAGUUGACGGGGUAAAGGCCCACCAAGGCGACGAUCCGUAGCUGGUCUGAGAGGAUGAUCAGCCACACUGGAACUGAGACACGGUCCAGACUCCUACGGGAGGCAGCAGUGGGGAAUAUUGGACAAUGGGCGCAAGCCUGAUCCAGCCAUACCGCGUGGGUGAAGAAGGCCUUCGGGUUGUAAAGCCCUUUUGUUGGGAAAGAAAUCCAGCUGGCUAAUACCCGGUUGGGAUGACGGUACCCAAAAAAUAAGCACCGGCUAACUUCGUGCCAGCUGCCGCGGUAA